AGGGCUAUCGCCAAAUGGUAAGGCAAUCGGUUUUGAUCCGAUUAUGUGUAGGUUCGAGUCCUACUAGCCCCA
RNAcentral lists this transfer RNA (72 nucleotides) under Caudoviricetes sp. RNAcentral's name for it is "tRNA-Gln". It matches the Rfam family "tRNA". Rfam says of the family: Transfer RNA (tRNA) molecules are approximately 80 nucleotides in length. Their secondary structure includes four short double-helical elements and three loops (D, anti-codon, and T loops). The record is from RNAcentral. Lineage: Duplodnaviria; Heunggongvirae; Uroviricota; Caudoviricetes.